AUGGCCGCAGUAAUUUGACUGUGCAAAGGUAGCAUAAUCAAUAGUUUUUUAAUUAAAAGCUUGUAUGAAUGGUUGGACGAAAUAAAAUCUGUCUUUAUUUAAUUUAAAUUAGAAUUUAAUUUUUAAGUUAAAAAGCUUAAAUUUUUUUAAAAGACGAGAAGACCCUAUAGAUCUUUAUUUUAAUAAUUAUUUAUUUAAUUAAGAUUUAUUUAUUUUAAAUUUAUGUUAAAAUUUUAUUGGGGUAAUAAAAAGAUUAAUUUAAUUCUUUUUAAUUUUAUUUAUUUAUAUAUAUAAUUUAUGAUCCAUUAAUAUUGAUUAUAAGAUUAAGUUACCUUAGGGAUAACAGCGUAAUUUUUUUAGAAAGUUCAUAUUGAUAAAAAAGUUUGCGACCUCGAUGUUGGAUUAAAGAUUAAUUUAGGUGUAGAAGUUUAAAUAUUUGGUCUGUUCGACCAUUGAAUCUUUACAUGAUCUGAGUUUAGACCGGCGUAAGCCAGGUCGGUUUCUAUCUUUAUAAAAUUAUAAUAUUUUAGUACGAAAGGACCAAAUAUUUAUUAUAUUAAUUUUUAUUUUGAUUAUUAUUAUUAUUUUGGCAGAUUAGUGCGAUGAAUUUAGAAUUCUUUUAUGUAAUAUUUUACAAAUAAUACUUGUUUUUUUUUGAUAUUAUUUUUAUAUUUAUUAGGGUAAUUUUAUUGGUUAUUUGUGU
RNAcentral lists this ribosomal RNA (703 nucleotides) under Geocharis sp. 2 CA-2016. RNAcentral's name for it is "partial large subunit ribosomal RNA". The stretch from base 339 to 497 matches the Rfam family "Bacterial large subunit ribosomal RNA", at positions 2473 to 2632 of the family's 2925-position model. Lineage: Eukaryota; Metazoa; Arthropoda; Insecta; Coleoptera; Carabidae. The record is from RNAcentral.